Molecule: long non-coding RNA, 17793 nt
Organism: Scophthalmus maximus (turbot)
Lineage: Eukaryota; Metazoa; Chordata; Actinopteri; Pleuronectiformes; Scophthalmidae
Exons: 4
Source: RefSeq, a predicted model, not a curated record
CGCUGGUUAGCUAGCUUCAACAUAUCCGCGUUGGUACUUGGCAGAGACGCAGCAGGAGUAAGAGACUGGCUUCAAUUUCAAGAAACUGCGCGAACACACAGCGUACCCGGGUGUCGCGGCAGACAGACAGUGCUCAGGGUGAGAGCUGAGCCUGCACUGAAGUGUCCCAAUGAGUCUACUGAAGUGGACUUAUCUCCUACCACACCGUCUCACAUCUCACUCUCUCCUGGAUCCAGACAGGGCUGAGCGCCACACUCAUCCUGCCCUCCUCACACCAGAGAGGCCUCUCUCCUCUGGGCUCAGUCCCACACUCAGCCCCCAACUCAACCACACCACCCUCCUUACAGUUGGCAGAGUGCUGCAUGAAGCUCACGCUGCUCCUGUCCCUAGGCUGUGGAUUCCACUGGGAAGGUGAGAAAGAGGGGGAGGAUGGACGGUGGCACGAAGGUUGAGGGAGACAAUGGAAGAGGGAGAAGUGGACAGAGGUGAAUGAUUGAGGUGUUGAUGUCGAGUUCGCCUUUUCACCCGUCUACCAGCCGAUCGGGGGCAACAUCAUAACUGAUUAGGUGCAUCAUGUAAAGCUCUGCUGACAGAGAUGGACUGCCUUGAACAAACACUGCGGCACUGGGACUCCAAAAGACUCUAAAACAUUUGGAUAGCCUUCGCAGAAGAUGUCGCAGUCUCUACAACCCUGCGGUCCAAAUGGUGGAACGAAAAGGCGAGUACACCGAGAGAAAUGUUGUGCUUGCGCAGAGGCAAAGAAAUUCUCCCAUACCCAAAAGCGCUGCUACGUUAUGUCACACUUGGCCACUUAUUAGAUCGUAUAGCUCCUGCGAAGGGAAGCUUAGAUGUUUUUGGUGAUAACAAUAUGAUUGACUGUUCACCAAGUUGCAGGAUGAUGCGGUCAUGCUGCACAAAUUGGGAGCAUGCACACUCAUGACCGCAUGCUCAUAGGCUCACACUCAGUCUAUGAGUUCAAAGCAGGAGAUGCAGAUGACAUCAAAGUGAUAUCCAGGACAGCUUGGCCUCCUUCAUGACAAAUGCCAGACAUCGCUUCGUCAAAAACAUGCCACAAAAGAUGGGAUACACUUAAAGCCAUCUACUUUCACUCUCAUAUUUCCAUUUCCAAUGAAAAUAUAAAAAUUUGUACAGCGUGAACAUUUUUCAAAAAUGAAUCCAAGUUGAGAUUUACCUUAAUGGAUGGUGCUCAUUUUUACAGCAAAGUGACUCCCUGCUGCCUCUGAGAGGAACUGAGCUUGUGCUGAGUAGUUUCCCGUUUUAGUAGGGAACUGUCUGCGUGACGUACACUGCGGGUCAUGGGCAGCUGGUCACAUGGUGGCUAGCUGAGGUAGCACAGUGAACGGUGAAUCAGUGGACUGAACCAUGAGAUAGUGAAUCCUUUUUGAGUCAUUGAGCUGAAUGAGUGUAAAGAAAUUAUUAUGAUUAUUUAAUGCAGAGUGUUGCAUAUGUUUACUUCUCCCAGGUGUGAUCAAAAAGCUGAUCUGCAAAAGAUUAACCAUUUAUAUUACAGGAGAUGUGAGGUGACGAUGGCGUGUGUGAACAAAUGUGUUUAUGAGUGGGGUUUUUUUGCAAAUAAAAUCAAAAUGGGAGUUAUUUCAGGCAGUCAGGCCGUCUGCUUGUUACUGUCACAUCCUGUCAGCAAAAUAUUUCCAUAAUGCCAUACAGUCAUAAUCUGUCACCUUGAGAUCAUGAUUUAUAACUCAGAUAUUGGGAUUUUGUGUAAGAAAAUUGGACCGUUUUAAUGUUUCCCAUGCCUUUUCUGGACAUUAUCGUCUUUUCAGAUUCAAAGUCAAAGAAAGUGAAAGGCAAAGUAAAUUCUCAGCAAAUUAUUUUAGUUUAGGAACAUUAAAGCUGCACUUGUUAUUUCAACAGUGGAUGAAAUUAUCAUGCUUAAUUUGAGCUUAACACUCUGCGGUUCCUUCCAACGCUACACAGCGUUGCAGCAUUUUUCAGAUACGAUUUUGGUUUUAUGGCCCGCAAUGUAGUCCCACUGUCUGUUUACAACAACUGCAGUCAGCAAAAAAAACAAAAAAAACCUCUCACAGUCUUACUGAACACCUGCCCACCACAAAACACAGACAAAGUUCGCAACUAUGUGUGGAACACAGUGAAGAAUUUAGCCGCUAUACAGAGCCAGAUAUUCCCCUCAGAGUCAGAGUCAAAACAGAGUGAAUGUUGGACAUGCAGUCACCACACAAAUCAUGCACAUUUUAUUCAUGGCUAGUGGAUGUGCAACAACUUAAUAAGCUGGAUUUGUAAAUUAAAGCUUGUUGUGCAGCCUCAAGUGUUCAAAAUGUUAGUUGAUCCAGAAAGUAAAAGCAAAGAAGCGUCUCGUUGUCCGGAAGCAAGGUCCCGAUUAGGUCUUAAGCCUCUUUGGUGUUUGUUUAGUCAGCUAAACCUCCCCACACUUUCACAUUUCUCUCCCUUAAGGUAGUAAAAUUAAGAACAGUUUUUGUUCCUGGUCCUGUUUUUUUAAAUUUUUUAUUAUUGAAUAUAUCUAUUAACUUCGUAAAUACCACACUUUGCCUUUAAACCAGCACCACUUCUCAUGUUUCUAAAGGUAUUUGGCAGAACGCUGUCAGUGAAACGCUGUCAUGCGUUGCGGUUCUGUUGCUUCACUUUGCUUUCGCUGCGUUCGGUAGAAAGUUGAGAAAGUCCACCUGUUCGAGCGGUAGCGCAGGGCAGGCGCUAGCCAAUCAAACCAUGUUAAUGCAAUUACAGAUCCUGUCUGACGUCAAACGUCAAAGUGAGCCAGGAGGCAACGGGUCAACCUGUUACAUGUUCACCUGGUUGUGAAGUUUUAUCUCCCAUGUACUUCCCUUUGGCAUCGCAUGGACAGCUAAUGCCACGUUAGUACAAAAGCCGGCUAUGUUGUUUGUCCCAGAGCAGGAAUUGUGAUUGGUUGUUGUCGUUUUGACAAUCGUCUCUUUAUAUGAUCCCCGACUGACCGGAUGAUGUUGAGAUCUUGGCUCUGUGGUUGGGGCCACACCAUCUUCUGCGGGACUCCUCGUUCUUCUUGUCGUUAAAGAUCAUGCUUCCUUGGGAUCGUUGUCCUGCAACAGAAUUAAUUGGAUUGAUCAGACGCCUUCCUGAUGGUAUUGCAUGAUGGUUAAGAAUCUGAAACUUUAUCUUAAACCAACCUCAGUGGCCGAAUGUAAAUAUUAUGAAAGUGACAUAUAUGUCAAUUUGAAUAUUUAGAGAGAAGCAAAACACAAUCAGUAAUGGUCAUUGACGAUUGAUUGUUAAGCCAAAUGUUUAAUCAAAAUAAUUGUCUGAAAAAAUAUGCACAUUUUAAAGGUUUGUUGUGAAUAUAUAUAGAGUGAUCACACUUUCCCAUGAAUUUAUAUUUCUACAAAUUGGCUAGAGAAAAUAACAAAAGCAUUUCCUUAAUGACUCUCCCUGUGGCUGAUUUGUAUAUUUUCAGGUCCAUUAAACCCUCAGUCUAGACCAUAUUGUGAUGGUUAUAUGAGUCCUGUCUGACCUGUGGUGGGAGGCGGCGUAGACUCUGUUUUGAGGCUGCAGAAACCCUGCUGUGGAUGUUUUGUGAGCAUUCACACCAUGUGACUGACGUUCAGCCCUGCAGUGAAAGCUUCAUGGGAUACCUGGUGUUUUAGGCUGAAUUCUUGAGCGUGGGCCAUUAUGGCCCUUUGGCAACAGGCUGUGUGGUGAGGGUUCUAAGUUGCAGGAGAGGUCCCUCCACUCUCUGAGUGAUGAGAGCAGGGUUUAACCGGCUGCAGGUGCGCCCGAGACAGGCGGGUCGGGCCUUUGAAGUGGAAGCCAACUGGGACCCUGGCCCAUCUCUGACCAGCAGCCAGCACAGACACAUUCGCUUUCAAUUAACACUCUCCCUUCUCUCUAGAUCGCUGCUCUUAUGCUCUGCGUUCUCUUUUUCAAUACUCAUCUAUGCGUUCAGAUGAAGAGAACCAUUCAGCCUGAGAAGUGUGGUGCAAUAAUUUCAGUAUGGUAUUAGUCCUUUGAAAGUGAAAAACUUGCAAACUCGUCGAUGUGCCUGAAAUCACGACUAUUCUUCAGAAUGAUUUUUUUUACCAUCUUACUGCAUUUGGGUGUGGGCUCAUUUCUUCACCUCUCGCUUACACUUCAUGAAACUUCUCAUGUCACAGGGCCAAUGUUAAGCAUCCAGAGAACUCUGAGUCCUCAAAUCUAUUGUUUUCUCAUUUAUCUUUAUGUGAUGAAAUCAUGGAUCUCCUCACUCCCAUGCUCUGUCAUGUGAACAGAACACUUCCUGCUAUUUGCCGCUGCUGAACAAGAUUGCAAAAAAAUCAUAUUAGAGAGAAAUAAAUGCAAAAUGCUCCAGUUGAUUAUUGGCUUUUUUUCAUCAAAACGUAUAUGCCCAAAUAUGAGUAUGUAUGUAAGCACGCAUGCACACAUCUCAUUAAAGAGAGUGAAACAGAGAAAUAAAUGGCUGUUUCGAUGGUAAGCUCCCUGGAGGCAGCUACAUCUGGCUCCUGUUAGCCACAAGCGUAUAAAAAUCAAAUGUGGUUUACUCUCAGGCAUUCUGCACUAGAGGCGCACACACACAUACACACACACACACACACACACACUCUGGGAGGUAGGACUCCAGCAUGGUGGUCACCCCCACCAGUCGCAGUCUCCCCAGUACCCAACUCCAGUGAACUCAGCAGACAUCAAGGGGCUCAGACAGGGUCUAGUAUUCAAGGCACAAACAGUAGCAGCCACUCAUAUAGUCUCUUUAUAAAAUAUUAAACCCGUAAAAACCCUGGGGAUACUUGUCUGUCGAGCCUCUGACAAUAUGUCUGAGCGAGAGUGGGGCGUGUCAGUAAUAAGUUUUAGUUCGGAAAAAAAAAUUACUUUUAACUCAUAGAUGCCGUAACAUACCCAAAUGAGACACAAUAUAAGGAGAAAUGAUAAUUCAAAAAUAUGCUGUAUUCAAUUUUAAAGAUAGUCCUGUAAGAGGACUAUGUCAUUUAGACAUAUAUUAUCUUGUAUGGUGAUCAAAUCACCAAGUAUCACAGUCAAACUUUCUCCUGGGUUCGGUCUACCGUAUGUAUCAGUAUUGUGUGAAAGCCAAGUUCAUUCUGAGCUGGGUUGUCCACUUAUCAUAAGGUCAGGGGUUUGAUUCCCGCUUAAUCCACUCCACAAUCCAAAGUGUCCUUGGGUAAGACUCUUAACCCCAAAGUGCCGCUGAUGGCUGUGCGGGCAGCGUGUGAAUGAGUUGCGUGAUUAACAGACAAAUGAAGUCAAAGUGUACGACAAUGAUGAAUUAAUCACUCACUUUGACUAAUCUAACAGAAGAAAAUUACAUAUUACAUCUAAGGGAAUGUAUUCUGUAAACUAAAUUGAAAAACGUUUUUAAAUUAACACUUUAUUUCUUAUUACAGUAUAUACUUUCCUUAGUGACCUACUUUAUUCCACAGUGUAGAUUGAGCCAUAAGUCAAAGACUCAAAAUCAAACGAGGGGGAAAGCAUGCUACUGUACCAAACACGCAUGAUAAGAUGAGUUCAUCAACAGGAUAUUAGAGACACCAACGCAAUAGCGCGUGAACUCAGACCAGGCUACUGCUACAUUCCAGACCUCAAAACAAUUCCCAGUACACUCGGUGACACAGGGCUGUGCAAUGCUUCACUAAAACCCUGACUCACUGAUCGAACAGUUAUCGCCACCGUAGCUGGUGAUGGAGAAAUCGCUGACACGCCUCACACUCUGUGGUGAGUGCAGAAGUUGACGACAUAAUUAGGAAAAAAACUUUCAAAAGCAAAAUGCAAGAAAUCAGGUUGAUUGUGAUUAAGGCUAUGACGUCCACAACAGUUUAAUGUUGUUUCUACAAUUUUCCGGUGCUCUGGCUGCGUCUAAAUGUCACUGAGGUCAAAGCCAGCUCAUCCUGUGCGUUCCUCCAAGCCCAGCAGGCAUGUCUGAAAGACUAUGUGACCCUGUGAGUCUUUCAAUUUCCUACCAUGGUAAAUCCUGGACCCAAAGAAAAAGCGAUCUUGAUUUCAGCUUGGGUGGGAUGGAAAGUACUUCAAUAAGUUUUGUAUUAUUGAUAUUAGCCCGUAAUGUCAGCAAUAUCACCGGUAUUCAAAACAUAGUGGUUCCAUGAUUCAACAAGAUAAAGAUCGUACAGAUGAUUGUAUGUGUUCUGUCUUUGGAAAAGUUUGAGUGCUGGCAUUAUCUGAAGCCUUUCCUGCACACACUGCCCUCGGUGAACUAGUGACACCAGUUAACCAGCUCCAUACAUAAGCCUUUGUGUCGGCCAGGCUGAAAAAAAAGAGACUGUCGGCAUCAGAAUGAAAACGUUUUCUUGGUGAAGAACACAGGUUUUCACGCCAUAUUUUAACAAUAUUUGUGUCGUGGCCAACUAAAGCAGUCCAGUAAAAGCUGGCACAUCUUUGGCAGCUGGCUGGCACUUGUCCUGGGCUGUCAAGAGUGAAAUGUUGCCCUUAUGUCAGCUCUCAGUAAACGCCACUAUCUCUGACUGUGAUGUAUGGGCGCUCUCGUCAUCUUUGGAGAUCUAACACACAGCGAGAUACACCAGGGCUUAGAUCAGCCUCUGGACUGCUUCAAGGGCCUGCAAGCAUCUCCCGGCCUGUUGUUGCCAGGUUUCAGUGGAUGGUGAGGAUGAAAGAGCUCAAGGGCAAUGUACCGCUGGCAGAAGGGGAAGCACUCAGAUCCUGUAACUUAAGAAAAUUGGUCCGUGUGAUUGAUACAUGAUCUUUUAUGACAUGAUUAGAUUGUUACGGAUGCAUCAAUGUCUAAGAAACAUUUUUACACUGCAACUUGUCAAGAAAUACUUUGUGGGGGCUGUAAAGUGUUGUGGUUCCCCUUCCAAGGGUGUCAUCUGGUACACAAGUUCUCGCUAAUCUUUGUUUUUUGGGGAAAUAUUGGAAGAAAAAAGGAUCAGAGUCACUAGUUUAAUGUAUAACAAUGCAGUGUCUUUUAUAAGCUUGUCAUUUGACAAAUUUCAAUCGUAACUAAAAACUAAAGCUGGUAAAUAAACAUGAAAUAUAUCUGAAAAUAUUGUGAAGUUGAAGUGUGAAGUAGCAUGAAAUGGAAAUACUCAAGUAUCUCAGCCCGCCCUCCCCUUAGAGUCCCUUAAUGUGGGGCUGACUGGCCCAACAAACCUCCAUCCUCACACACAAAUGUUGCAAUGCCUGGACGUCUCACCGUGUUCGUCUAAACCGAGUCCAAGAUCCUCCGUGAUGGUUUUCUGUCUGAACACUGAACACUCUCACUCGGACAUCACCUUAACCCCCACUGUUUUCCCAAAUCACAUAUGGCCAUGAUUAUUAUUGAGUGAAAUUGAAAAAAAUAUAUAUAUAGAAGUUAUUGAAAACUUCAGUUAUUAUUUCUUUUAAUAAUUGGUUCAUUGUCUUAUCAGUGAAAUAUCAUAGAACAGUGUAUCUAGUGUUUAUGCUAAGCUAAGCUAACUCUCCUGGCUCCAGUUUCAUAUCUAAUGGACAUAUAUCAGAGUGGUAUCAGUCUUCUCAUCUGGUUUUCGAAAAGAAAGUGUGUUCUUUCUCAAAAUCGUCAAAGUAUUUUUUCAAUUACAAAGUGAUUUGAGUAGCAUCAUAACUCUAAUUUCCAGUGAACAACUUGAAAUGAGUUUGGAUUUUCAUAUUAUGCCAUCUUCAUCUAGGUAGGUCGAGCAUGAGAGGAGGACAGAGCCAGAUUACAUCUGAGUUUACAUGGCGUUGCAUGGGCGGCAAAUUAAAGGUCUUGCAAAAUCCCGCAGACUGCCUUAUCAGCCUGCUCUCUGUGGAUUUGAAACAGACGCUCGCUUCCAUGUUCGCUGUGUAUGUGUACAUUUGUGCCCCGUAGCAGACUGUUAACAGGGGGAAACACAUGUCCACAUUAAGCAGUUUCACUGAUCAAGCUGAUAUGACUGGAGAUGAAAGAACGAAGCGGGAACUCGUCCCCCCCAAGUGCGGCUGCUGCGAGCUGUCAGCAACAAUACUCACUGAGCGUACUCAUGUUUUCAUUAAAAGUGUAUGUGAAUUUAACACUCUUUACAAGGCAGAAUGAAAUACAACUUUGAGAUGAUCAGAGUAGGUAUCAUUGAUUUGGACGUGGGUUUUUCAGGCAUAUGAUAUUCAUUUUUUUGUGGCAGAAACACAAGGGCCUUCACAGGGCUUUGUAAAAGUCUCCAGAAUGAGAACAAUGAACAGGAAAGAAAGGGAAAGGAGAACCGAGGAGUGACUGAUUGCAGGGCAUCAGACCAAAUGGGAACCAGAGACUGCGAGAUGUCAGAGCUGCUAUGGAUUUAUACUUUACCUGCUCCCCUGAGAUCUGCCACACAUACACCGCCCUGAGCAGAACAAAAGUGGGGGAGAGAGAGAGAUGUGAAAAAGUAUGGGCACGGGGUCAUGGGUCAGACAGUGCGAGAGGAUUAGCAUAAGAGGCCUACAAAGAUGAGUGAGACAUGGAGGGCCAGAGAGUGAGAGGGGCCGGGUCUGAGGAGAAAACAGCAACAUCAGCUCAGCUGGGUCUUAUUUAGAUAAAACUUUUGUUCUAUGAAAGGAGCCCUGUACACCCGCCUGUACAUCUGUCCACCGCAUGUUGGACUGCAAUGGGUGGGCUGCCCUUUUCUGCCUUUGCCCUCUCCCCGCUGCCCUGUAUCUCUCCCUUGGGCAAACAACCGUUCAAACCACCCUGUAUAUGCUGAAGAAGAAAGGGUACCCCCAGGGAACAUACUGAUACUCCUCAUUCAGUAUUGAAUGAUUUCCUUCAGAAUUUCAAACUGCAAAAAAAAAAAAGGAUCCCCCGUGAAAGUGAUACUGAAUAGGUUGUUUCAGUUGAUUUGCCCACUUGGCCGAUUCAGAACAAGAUCUUCUCAAGAAACUACAGUAUAAGUCUGAACAAUAGGGAGACACAAGACCUCCUUCAUUAACCACCAGAGGGCACUACUUCCCCAACAGUUGCACACUGACAACACCAGUCUCGAAAAUGUGGAAAAAUCAUCAGAGAAAUAUAUAUCACCACAUCAUUUACAAGGCAGUUUUUCUUCCCACUUAAAAAAGACACAUCUGAGCCCUGUACUACCGUCAUAGAUGUCUCUAAAAAAUAAUGCACAGACAUAAGUGUGUUAGAGGAAACAAACAUCCACUGCAUUGUCCACCAAGUAGCAACCCACCAUGACCAUGAUGUCACUCGUUGGUUUGUGAACUGUCGUUUUGGAGCCUCGAGUUUAGCAUUUUUGCCAGCGCCAUCUUGUUUUUUUGAGACCAGAAGUGAGGCUUGAAACUGGUGUUUGAGACCACAAACUCCUCAGGAAAAUGUUUACUGACAUUAUAAAUCAAGUGAGAUGUAUGGUCUUCAUUUCUUCAUAGAGAAAACUGACUUAUUUUUGUGGAGUCGCCCUCUGCUGCUCAUCGGAGAGAAUGCAGAUUUCAGUCACUUCCGCAAUUGGCUUCACUUUCUGGACCUGGUGACUAGGUCCAUUUCUAUAUACAGUCUAUGAUUGCCACCACAUCAUAAAACGGACGAGUUUGCCUUUCACAUGUGCCGAACGCAGCAGGAGAUAGUCAGACGCGGUCACACCCACAGGAACAUUUUCGAAAUGUGUGUUUUAGUUAACGGUCACUCACUCGCUGCAAAUCUUCUGGAGAUUUUCCUGCUGAAUUCUCCGGAGCAACACUUGCGGACAUUUGUGUUCGCACAUACUGCCCUUCCAAAACAUUUCAGGAAAAUGUCAGGACUUCAGUGCAUGUCUGAUAGCAGCUUCAGAUAGACUGGCCUUGUACAGUAGUAGGGAUGCUCGAUUGACACCUUCCUAUACAGAUUCACUUCUCAUCAACAAGGGGGACAGGUGGAGGUCAUAGGAAGUGGUACAAUGACAACAUCAAGAUCAUACUCAAAAAGUUCCACAUAGAGUAGAAAAAAGGACAGGCAAGGCUCAAAACAGAACAAGAGCUUUAUGAAGUGGAAAUCUGACAAGCUGACUCUCCACCUAGAAAUCCCAUUUAGCUCAAACCACAAGCAGCACAGAGUAUUUAUCAUGCCAGCAUCCUUCCUAUCAGUGCUGUAUAUGUGUCUGGUUCGCUGCCGUAUGUCCAAGACAUUCCAGUGUUUCCUCUAGCCAUUGGCCAGUGGGGAACUUACCACCACCCUCCGAGUAGAAGACAAAUACAGCCUCUGUCUGAUUGACUGGGUUUGUCCCACCGCAGACAGCUUGUUGAGAGCACGGCAUGAAACCACCAAGUGUAACUGACAGACACACAUGACAGGACAUGCCUCGGUCCACCAGCUAACAGACCGUGGAGCUGCGAACUGUUACUUUGACUGAAGGCUGGUCUGAAUUAGGGCCCCUCGCCCCCGCCGCAGACCUCAGACCUCGAUCCAAACCUAAUUCAUGUAUAAAUCACAGCUGGCCAGGUGAUUUCUAAAUCCUGACAUGUGUUUCUUUUCAAUGGCCAACUUAGCCUAUCUCUCACUCUUUCUCUGUAACUCGGCCUCGCCUGCUCUCCCUCAGCCCACAAUGAAUUAACUCACUUUGUAAGGAAGAGAUGCAAAGGGGCGUGCGCCAGCAGUGCAUAUUUAACACUAAGUUAACACACCAGGGGAAAUAUCACACAACUGGCGAAAAAGUAGCGCCAAGCAUGACACAAGUGUCUUUAGUAGUUUCGGACCAACGCAGUUGUGAUUCACCUGUCCGGCGCCCAUGUUUAAAAAGCAGAUAUGCUUCUGAGAGCCUAUGGGCGUGUUUAUGUUGAAACGAUGUGCAGGAUAUUAAUAUGUGCCAACAUACAGGUGCACGACAUGCAUAUUACAUACACGGAUGAUCUGCACAUGGGAAAUGGUUUCCUCUGAAGGAAAGUGUUCUCUUUUAUUACCUGACAAAUUCAUCCAAAAAGCAAUCCACCAGGGCGCGACUGCAAGCAAGCAUACUUGGCUUUCAAAGGGAACAUGAGAUGGCACUGUUUUAUGGCGUGUUACAUCCAAAACACACCCAUGAAUUAAUUAAAAGAGUAAGUACAACCCUUUUGAACCAUGCGCCUGGAGCAGCAACUAUUUUUUUCCCAUGGUUAAACUCGCAGAAUUGGAUUUGGACACGUGCUAAAUGCACUUACUCCAUUCACUUUAGUCCAUGUGCUCAGAUCGUUAGAGUAGUGCCCCCGGGCGUCACAGACAAGGACUCACCUAAACACAGCUGUAAAAUCUUUAUGGAUAUGUCAACCAAGCUUUCACACUAUAUAGGCAUCAUCAAAGAUAGAUAUUGCUUCAGCUGAUUACUCUGUUAACAGCUGAUAGUAUAUCAGCCACAGCACACAGAUGACUUGCUUAAUACCCUCUGAGAAUCCUCGGCAGAUAGCUGACAUGAGUGAGCACGUAAAUUUAUUAUGUACAGGAAAUCGUGGACAUAAUAGCGUGAAAGAAUUGUGACAUGACAUGAGCAGGUGUGUCAGUGUGUGUGUGUGUGUGUGUGUGCGUGUCUGCGUGUGUGUGUGUGUGUGUGUGUGUGUCUGCGUGUGUGUGUGUGUGUGUGUCUGCAGAUAUGUCUGUGGUAUACACUAGCUGAAAGGUCUAACUGGCUUCAUCUAAAAGUCCUUAGAUAGUAUUAAAAGGUCACUGGACUACCAGACAGCAUGUUGGUAUGACUGUUUGAGGAGAAGCAUAUCCAGAUGUGUGCUAGCAUGCAUGCAUGCAGAGGCCUAAUGGCCCACAGUGACUUUCUCCAAUUACACAACACACAAACACACCACAGCAAAAGAACACAUGAGAGCUCUGUCAAAAGAAACUCCUCAGGCCCCCUCACAGGAAGACCCCAUUACAGCGUGUGCGUUGAUAAAAAUGGUCCCCCUAUCUGCCCUGUGGCUCCCCGAUAGCCAUCUCCUCCCCUCAGUGGGUUCCUACUGAAGCUGCGCAGGUCCGACUGUUUAACUGGCCCCCAGAGAAACAACAUAAUAGGAGUUAAGGAGCCUGUCUAUGCUCCAGAUAAAACAAAUGUACCUUUACUUAAUGCCAGAUUUCACCAUAUUGCUCAUGGGCACACACGCACAUAUUGGCAUUCUAUGUUUUAAAUGAGUUCAGUGAUGGCAGAAUAGUGGCAUAAUUUGUGUGUGUCUGUAUGUGUGGGAGCACUCGUGAUUUUGAUACUGAUUUAAUCUGACAUAGGCAGACAUUGAAAAGCCAAAUAAAGGUUGAUUGUUUUUGUAAGAUAAGAUCAGAUAUUAAUAUAUGCAGAAUAAAGGGAGGUACACAUGAAAAUGUGUGAAAAAAAUUGUAGGCCAUCUGUAUCCAUAUCUGAUUUCGGCCAUGAACCAUGGAGAGUGUACGGAAAACUGGGUCCAGAACUUUUUGUCUGCUGUUCACAUAUGAAGCAUAGAGCGUCUGUGUUACAGUUAUACAUUAAUGUGAAAGUAUUGGUAAUAGCGGGUGCGUCACACUGCAAGCAGAAACAAAAAUGUACCAGGAAUAACGAUUAAUGGUUUAAUAACAGUGCAUUUAAUGUGUGAUUAGGCAUGAUAAUAGAGUGUGAUAAAAAUUAGGCCUUUCUGUGUAGAGUUUGCAUGCACCUCCGUUGUCUCUGUGUGGGUUCUCCCACAGUCCAAAGACGUGCAGGUUAGGUUCAUUGGUGAAAUUAAACAUGAAUGAUUGUUUGUCUCCAUGUGUCAGCCCUGCAAUAGACUGGCGGUCUGUCCAGGGUGUAACCCGCCUCUCAGCCAAUGUCAGAUGGGAUUGGCGACCCUCCAAGAAUGAGCGGUAUAGUCAUUGGAUGAGUGGAUAAUUUGCACUGCAGCAGACAGUAAUUAUCCAUUGAUCAUUCUCUCUGUUGAGCAUUUAGUCCGUGAAACAUCAUAAAACAAUGAAAAAAUGUAUUUUUUCUUUCCAGUAAGUUUCACCUUCUUCAGUGUACAAGUGUUCAGUCCACUAGGACCUGGAAGAAGGAUAUCCCGUGGAGAACAGUGAUUGCAGCGGUUGCACGGUUUGAACUGGUUGCAGAAAUGGUUUGGGUCAGUCUGCUGUAAGUGUUCCUGUGUUAAUCACACACACACACUGCUGUCGCUCCAUAGCUUCACCAGCGAUGUGUGAGCAGUUGGACAUUCUGAAACAUCAUUAACAUUCCUUCUAGUCUUAGAGAGAAGGCAUCAAUUGAUCAUUUCACAGUCUUCAGACUCAACAUUUUCAGAUGAGCACGACUUCCAUAUGCCGCCUUUGCGCAUGUAACACUGCAUCUGCCACAUAAGGAUGCAAUACUAUGAUGUCUUGUUACCCUGGGAGUUGAACUGGGAGCCUGUAUUUCCCCUUGCAGUUGGAGCAAUCUCAUCAUGACAUAAUAAUGCAGAUGAAUGGCCCUGACCUGGCAGACUCUGCUCCAUCACUGCUAAUGGACGAGAAAAGUCAUAUUUCACGUCUUGUGCAACUCCACUCGGCAAUCACUCUUGAAUGACAAGGUCGUGCACCAAGACAGCCUUUGUUUUUCUGAUUGAUCAGUAUAAAAGCAUUACUCGUAUGACAGUGAAAGAAACAAUAUGCCAUAUAUAUAUAUUGGUGUCACUUUCGCCCUCCUUAGAUCUGUCUCCCUUCACCCUCUCAUUCCAGUGGCUCUAAUCAGCCUUAGGACCAGUCUUGGGGUCGGCACUUCACAUAGAAAAAUAUAUCAGUACAUCAAACCGCUUUGAACUGACAGCGAUUAUGAAAUUCUCUUGGGCAAACGUACAGCAAUAUUGGUCGAGCAAUUCAGAUGUGUGUGGUUUAAGAGUGCAUUGCUGCUAGGUUUGAGCUUCGUCCUCUAAAAUUUGACGUCCACUUUUUUCAGAUAAAAAGGUAAUUCCCUCCGUUUAGAACCUUCACUCUCGGCUUUCCCAACCAGUAAAUUGUGUUGAUAGCCUCUGCGGUGGGAUUGACAUUCUCGGUUAGUUACACCGUGUGAUGCCGCUGGUGGUCGGUCCGUCCUCAUCUUUGUGGGAAAAGUUUCAACCCAUAUCUAUCUAUCUAUCUAUCUAAUACCGUUUCCUUUGUUCUGAUUUUCCCUCUCAUCUCUUCUUCUAUCUGGCACACUCCUCUUCUUUGUUCACCUGUCAUACUCCACCUUUUCCCAGAAUGACGCAUAUUGAACCCCUCGGAGAGGCGAGCAGAGGUCAUACCAUGCCUCCUAGCAGCGCUAAGACCUGGCCACUGAGGUUGCAGCUGUUCCCUGGACCCAACUACUGGCAGGUUGCAACGCCCUUCUGGCGAACGUAGAGCAGUCCACGAGCCCUGGGAUACGUGCUUCUGAAUUUACCCCCUGGGAUAUUUCACAAAAGGCCAGCUGGGAAGUCGGCGGGAGCCAAGAAGAAGGUGAGGGGGUUGGAGGAGAGGGUAGAUGGAGAAAGCAGAGGAGUAAGCGAUGAUAUGGGUAACACAUGGAGAAGGAUUAAAGAAGUGAAGGUUCUGAUUUGUGUGUGAGAAAGAGGGAGAGGAAGAGUUCCAGAGCAAGAUAGUGGGACAGUGUGGGUAGAAGGAUGGGAUGCAUACAGACCAACUCUUUGUUUCCAUUUGGUCUUAUGAAUCCAUGAUGGCAAUAUUUGAAAUUAUUCUCAAGCAAGGUGGUUGAAAAUUAAAUGGACAUUUCUGGAACAACCUCUGCCUGCGUCUCAUCCUACCUCUCUAACAGCAUUUCAUUUGAGUCAUUCACCUCUUGAACUGCACAGAGACAGUGUGUGACACAAUGUGGUGUAGCUCAAGGAUCAAUCAUCGGACCGCUUCUGUUCUCACUGUGUCUGUUGCCAUUGGGUCUCGUUAUUUUUUACGCAGACGACACACAGUUAAAUCUCUCCGUCGAGUUCUCAGAGUUCGGCAAGCUGGCCGCACUACAGAGCUGCUUCGCUGAUGUAAGAGAUGAGGUUCUCACGAAAAACGCUUCGCAGUAAAACUCUGACAAAACAGAGGUCUUUGUCUUUGACCCUGAGCACCUCCGUAAACAAAUCCAGCCACUGCCUGGCCCCCUUACUACAGAUAUCAAUGUUGUCUUUUUCGCAAUCCGAAAAAAAUUAUUCACACUUUUAUAUCUUCACGCCUGGAUUAUUGUAAUGCUUUGAUCACCUGCCUUAAUGUUCGGGCUGCUGCUCCGAGUCGGACUGUGCAGAACUUUGCCGCCAGGCUCCCAACCAAGGCCAAACGCACUUCUGACAUCUCCCUGGUUUUAGCCUUUUUGUACUGGUUACAGGUAUUCUUUUGAAUUCAUACCAGAACCAUGCUCAUUACUUACAAGGCCAUACUAAACCAGCCGCCUUAGUACAUCUUCCCUCGUUACAGUCCCAAAAGGUUUCUGAGAUCUGUUUCAGGCCUGGUAGUCUGGGUUUAAGUCAAAGGGAUCCUGCUGACUCGCUCUCAUCUUCUGAAUCAUGUCUCAAAACACAUUUUUAUGGAAUUCUUGUCUGAGAGCUCGGCUUACUUGUCUCCAGAAUACAGCUCAGUCUUUUCCUUAUAUUUAUUUUUUUCCAUAUGGAUAAUUUUAAAUAUCUAUUUAAAUGUAUUUUGUCUUUAUUUUUAUUUCUUUGAUACCCUUCACUCAAACAAAUUUGUGUGCCCAUCUUGAUAAGUGCUGUACAAAUAGAAUUGUAUAUUCAUUGUUGUUAUUAUUUUUAUUAUAUUAUUUUUAUGAUUAUUUUUGUUGUUGUUGUUGUCAUUGUUGCUGCUGCUGCUGCUGUUAUUACUACUAAUGAGUGAAUUUAAGAAUUACAACUAUGUAUUAUAUUGAAAAUUACUUAAUAAUUAUGAAUUAACUAUUAAUUUACCUACGACACUUCUAGCAAUUGAUUCUACAGUUAUAUUUUGACCUAUACAGUACAUAUGUAAACAGGUUCUAAAGGGACAAAGAUUCAGGCUUUUUUUGCAACACUAUAUGAAGACACUCAGUUAUUAACAGGAAAGAAAAGCACUCGAAUGAAAAUGGUCAAAAUAUUUUCUCAAAAAAGCAAAUAUUAUAUAUUAUAUUACCCAAAGGCAAUGAGAAAACAAAAAAUAUUAUGCCAAUCUAUUAUAUAUUAAAAACUAAAUAUGUCAAUUGUAGUACAAAAAUAUUAAUUGGCCAGAAAAGGUGUCCCUUCAAUGUGAUCCAACAUAAAUAAAUAAAACUAAAAUAAUUUUUGUCAAAAGAUUUUGUCUCCAAACUACUAUAUAACUAAAUGUUUUGUCCUCUGUUUUGUCAAAUGAAAUAAUUUAGCUCUAUUUAUCUCUGUAUAGUGACCCAGAUAGUUCCAUCCACAAACAAUCAAAUGACUUUUUUUUCUCCAAUUUACUGUACAGCUAUCCCUCAAAAAUCUUUACAAGUGUUUGAAUAUAAACAUAAUUAAUUAUGACAUUGCAUUUGUUUUAGUUUUUGGUUUAUUACAGAAAUUACCAAUGUUCCCUCCACAAGUUAAUUUCUCUAUGAACAAUGAAGCACAGUUGAGGACCAACCUCAUAUUUUAUGACUUUAUGACUUAAUUCCUCCGAAUAAAACAUAUUUCUCCCCUUUUUUAAGUCCAUAUUAAACUGCUGCGUGCAUGUGUGGACUUUACAUUUUUGAAAGAGACUUUCCUUAAAGAAUUAGGAUACACAUGCUGUAAAGCUGCAUGAGUUAACGUACACUUCCAAAACUUUAUAUUGAAAAAUAUUACAUUACCGAGGUGAUAUUGGUACUAUUACACUGCACGUUAUGUGCAAUGAAGUGAGUACUGAACUGUUAUCUCGUAUUGUUGGGAAGAGAGGGACCCCUACUGGAAAAUGAGGAUUUUAGGUGAUCAAACAACUAAACUUUAUGAAAGAAAAAAAAAGGAGGAAGUAGCAUUUUUGUCUCAUAAAGUCCUGCCUGAAAAAUGUUUUUUCUUUUUAAAUUUCUUUAAAAUAUGUAUUUGUCCUUUUGAAAUUAUGCAUUUGUCAUUUUAUCCUCAGUGAGUAAGGUGUAUCACUAGUUCCUUUCUUAUGGAUAUUUAGUUUUGUGAUUCCUUUUUCACAAUUUCUUUUAAUUCAUGCAGUUGAGUGAUGGAGAGCUGCAUGUUAUACAUUCCAAGAUUUCACAUUGUUAGUAGCUGCAACAGUUGUUCUUGGUGAUGUCAGACUGUGUUCCAUAAAAGGUGAAUAAUGAAUAAUGCGAUGAUGUCUGAGAGAGAGUCGAUGCUCACUGAAACAAUUCUAUUUUGUUUGGUUUAUACUCUGUAUUUUUCUAUUAUUUUGUUUCCUUUCUUGACAUCUGACUAACUGUCAUGUAAAAAUUGCUGGUUGUCAUUAUGCCAGAGAAUAGUUAACAAUUUUCUGCUCUCACUCAGUAAAUAAUAGAAGAAAAUGGAGCUUCAGGACCCUUUUCAUGAAUUCUUGGAUACUUGUGAAACCAUCCAUGGGGUUUUCACCUCUGAAAAACUAAUGCUAACACAUGUAUGGUUCUCAAGGUCUAGUGAUGCAAUGUCAUUAGUAAAGCAAGUUUAUUACCUUGUCUCAUCCUCAUCAAAGGUCAAACGGGCCCCAUAUAGAGGACAGAUUGCAUCUAAGACGACCUUCUUCCUCUCUGUUUCUCUCUGUUUCUCUCUCUCUCUCUCUCUCUCUCUCUCUCUCUCUCUCUCUCUCUCUCUCUCUCUCUCACUCUCACACUCUCACACACACGAACACACACACACACACACACACACACACAUUGUCGACUGACUGGUUGGUAUUCCUCUGUUGGACCUAAUGGCUUCCAGUGCUGAGAAGAUAGAGCCCUAACUCAUACUGACAGGACAGAUUAGCACACAGGACUUAAACAUGAGUGGUACAAGUCAAAGGUCAAUACACAGAGAUGUAAACUGCUUGUGUGUGUGUGUGUGUGUGUGUGUGUGUGUGUGUGUGUGUGUGUG